GCAUAUCAAUAAGCGGAGGAAAAAGAAAACCAACAGGGGAUUGCCCUAGUAACGGCGAGUGAAGCGGCAACAGCUCAAAUUUGAAAUCUGGCUCUCUUUGGGGGGUCCGAGUUGUAAUUUGCAGAGGGUGCUUUGGCGUAGGCGGCGGUCUAAGUUCCUUGGAACAGGGCAUCGCAGAGGGUGAGAAUCCCGUAUGUGGUCGCCUGCCUUCGCCGUGUAAAGCCCCUUCGACGAGUCGAGUUGUUUGGGAAUGCAGCUCUAAAUGGGAGGUAAAUUUCUUCUAAAGCUAAAUAUAAGCCAGAGACCGAUAGCGCACAAGUAGAGUGAUCGAAAGAUGAAAAGCACUUUGGAAAGAGAGUCAAACAGCACGUGAAAUUGUUGAAAGGGAAGCGCUUGCAGCCAGACUUGCCCGCAGUUGCUCACCUAGGCUUUUGCCUGGGGCAUUCUUCUGCGGGCAGGCCAGCAUCAGUUUCGGCGGUCGGAUAAAGGUCUCUCUCACGUACCUGCCUACGGGUAGCCUUAUAGGGGAGACGACAUGCGACCAGCUGGGACUGAGGUCCGCGCUUCGGCUAGGAUGCUGGCGUAAUGGCUGUAAGCGGCCCGUCUUGAAACACGGACCAAGGAGUCUAACAUCUAUGCGAGUGUUUGGGUGUCAAGCCCGAGCGCGCAAUGAAAGUGAACGGAGGUGGGAACCUUAGGGUGCACCAUCGACCGAUCCUGAAGUCUUCGGAUGGAUUUGAGUAAGAGCAUAGCUGUUGGGACCCGAAAGAUGGUGAACUAUGCUUGAAUAGGGUGAAGCCAGAGGAAACUCUGGUGGAGGCUCGCAGCGGUUCUGACGUGCAAAUCGAUCGUCAAAUUUGGGCAUAGGGGCGAAAGACUAAUCGAACUAUCUAGUAGCUGGUUCUGCCGAAG
RNAcentral lists this ribosomal RNA (912 nucleotides) under Massarina eburnea. RNAcentral's name for it is "LSU rRNA". It matches the Rfam family "Eukaryotic large subunit ribosomal RNA", at positions 38 to 966 of the family's 3401-position model. The record is from RNAcentral. Lineage: Eukaryota; Fungi; Ascomycota; Dothideomycetes; Pleosporales; Massarinaceae.